This is a non-coding RNA of Camellia sinensis, 1146 nucleotides long. NCBI's taxonomy places the organism in Eukaryota, Viridiplantae, Streptophyta, Magnoliopsida, Ericales, Theaceae. The record is from RefSeq and is a predicted model, not a curated record.
UUGCCUUCUCCCCCUGAAUCUUUAUGCUAGUGAGUGUGUCAGUGUUUGUGUUCAUGAAUUGCUCCGUGUGCAUUCUUUUAGAGGUUGAAGCCAAACAAUUGAGACUUUGAAAUUGGAGUCGGUGAACUAAAAGGAUCAAACACGAAAUUGGAUUUUGCAUUUAGGAUCAUCUUCUAUCUACAAUUGAUGUUUGCUUGUUAUAUAUGUUUUUUAUACAUUAUAAACAUGAUCAUGAGAAUUGUAAAUCAAAACAAAAUUUAAAUUCUGCUGUGCUUGGGUAUAGGAUUCUCGGCCGUUUAUUGGACAUGGUUUUGAAAGUUGAGCAUUCAUAGUACCUGAGUUUUUCCGAACAUGUAGAUUGAAAUAUGAUUACCUAGAGGCCCCCCUUUUGUUAAUACAGUUGAGUGUUGAGGAUCUCUUCAAAUUGAUUUUCCUCAUAUAAAGUCCUAAGUUGGGCUCAGCUGAUGAUAUAUAGGGUUGGAUGGAUAUAAUCUGCCACAUCUUAGCUCUCAAGAACCCUAGAAUCGAACAUGACACUCGCUAAAGCUCCCAGAAGUUAGGAGGUCACUCAGGUCACGCGGACCAAAGGAAGAUGAGAAACUCUCUGAGUUCCAAGUCGAGUUGAUCCAGCUUGCAUCCCAGCUGGUCGGUGAUCAUGUUCUCAAUACCUACCCAUAUAUGGGAAAAUCCAUGACUGUGGGUGAAGCAAACCGUUAUGCGGAGACAGCAGUUGCAAGGUUCUUGGAAGCUGGAAAGACAGCUUUGAGAGCUGGAGCAAAUGAAUCUGCUCUUGUCAGAAUGAGACCGUCCCUCACUAGCCGAACUUCAGGGGGUUAUAGCAGCUAUUGAUCAAUCCCCCUCUACAUUAGCGAGUUGUGUAUAGUAUAUUCAUAUUGAACUUUCCAUACUGGUGUACGUAAAUUUUAGUAGUAUUCAAACUUCUUAGUACCAAAGCAAGACCUGUUGGCCCGAUCGGCCAAUUCGAAGUCUUAAUAGUAAACAUAUAAACCACUCUGUUGUGUAUGACACUAGUGAACUUUCUGUAUGGAGCUUAGGUCCUUUCAGGUGUUUUAUAAAAUAAUUGCAAACUCCAAUGGUUGAAUAGUAAACAUUAUUUCGCCACGAGGUUGGUCAGUCUUAAAUUUA